UACGUAGGGUGCAAGCGUUAAUCGGAAUUACUGGGCGUAAAGCGUGCGUAGGCGGCGGCUUGUGUCAGGUGUGAAAUCCCCGGGCUUAACCUGGGAAUUGCGCUUGAAACUGAGUCGCUCGAGUCUGCCAGAGGGGGGUGGAAUUCCACGUGUAGCAGUGAAAUGCGUAGAGAUGUGGAGGAACACCGAUGGCGAAGGCAGCCCCCUGGGGUAAGACUGACGCUCAGGCACGAAAGCGUGGGUAGCAAACAGG
This 253-nucleotide ribosomal RNA is filed under the name uncultured bacterium. RNAcentral's name for it is "partial 16S ribosomal RNA". It matches the Rfam family "Bacterial small subunit ribosomal RNA", at positions 524 to 776 of the family's 1533-position model. The record is from RNAcentral.